AUUAGAACAAAUCCUUGGCGUGCGCUGGACUGAUACCGCUCCACUAACAGAUGAAAUGCCCAGGCAGCUUUGCUGCGGGCAGCCGUGGCUGGUGGAGAUCUAGCAGGAGCUGUUGUUGACCUGGAUCCUUUUGUCUUGUGGGGUCAGCGUGGCAGAGCUCUCCCUAUCUCAGUGGCUGCACUGCAGUACUGUGCUGCUUGUCAUUGCUCUGAUAACAACUCCGCGCGAGUUAAUGCUGUGGAGUCAGGGCCUGCUGUGAUCCGGCCUGCAGAGUUCCCCAUGAAAGCAGCACCUUGAAAAGCCUGACAUUGGGAGGUGCCAAGAAUAUGUGGCUCCUACCGACACUCCAGCCUCCCUCCACAGCCAGCUCAGGCUGCAGUGUCCAGCUCCCACCUGCACGAUGUGCCGUGUCCACCCUCCUACAUACCGAGGUGGAAGAAAGCGUCCGGUCUCCGCACAAGGACUUGGGUCCUGCCAUCUCCCCUGCCGUCUCCCCUAAGUCCCAGCCUGCUUGCAGGGUCCUGCUGUACCUGUGGAGAGGGAGCAGCCCCUCCAGCAAGAUCAGCCCUAUAGCAAUCCCUCUGUUCACUCCUGUGCUCCCAAAAGAGCCUGGGAAGGGGGAGGAAAACCCGGGAAAUUUUUGCCUCUGAUUUGCUCUGCAAUGCAUGCACACACUUCUGCAGCAGGAUAAAUGACAGCUGGGGCCUGCUAGGUGGGAACCACCCUCCCCGAUAAGGGAACAUGUUGACGCAGGAGAUUAAACUUGUCCACUUCUUUUUUAAGUGCAUCUAUUGGCAAAACAUGAGCCCAAGGAAAAAAACAAAGGAGAAGCCAGCACCCUGCCUGGCAUUGCAGACUCUGCGGGGAAAAGUGUCCCCAGGAGAGAUGGGCUAUUUUCCCAGUCAUGCCCUUUCUCUGCUUGAAGGAUUUGCCUGGGGAGAAUUCGAAGAUCUCCACAAGGUACCUCACAGGAACCUCACAGGUUCCUCACCCUCCAUUGCAUGCUCUGAGACACAAAGCCGGGAUUUACAAGGGAACCAAGAAUUUCCUGCCAAACCUGCCAAAGCAGGAGCUAGCAGGCAGCGUGGCAGGAGCGCUUGCCCAGUGCUCUGGCACAGAUCCAGCGCCUAUGGAAGGAGAUGGGAGAUGUUUUUCUUGGUUCCCCUUGAAUAGCAUUCAGGACAUUUUCUGCCUCUCACCUAUGAUGGAAGGAAUCGCUCAUGAAAUCCUCACACAGUCACCACUAUCAGGGACGACCACAGCCCUGCGAAGGCACGAUUCAGAGAAGAGACGGCGUUAUGCCUGGCCUUGCUGCCUGCUGACUAGUGCCAGAUGAGGAAGACCCAUCCAGGGCAUGAAGGCUUUCCUCUGGGAGCAGGGCUUCAAGGCAAGCCCUGCAACACCCUCCUGCUCCCUGCAAUGGCAUUGCUAACCCACGGCCAGCGCGGGUCUUGCCUUUGGGGAGAUGAGGCUGACGGGUGAGCUUCGCUCCAGCUCAGGCCACAGGGCCAACUUGUGGAGGCUGAGCCCUGGGGGCCAUGGGGAGCUGGGGCAGGAAGGGUCUGCGAUGGACUCGCUGUCUCCAGGGCAGGAGGGAGAGCAGCCCUCCUCUUCCACAAACACUUUGUGUGUGUGCUGGCUCUCCAGGAAAAUAUUUGUCGUGGUCUGAGGCACAUCUUUUUAAAAGCCUCAGCAUUUUCACCUGCGAGCUUCAUGCAGGAGACAGACGAUUAAGAAAAUAAAACUCUCAACCAAAGAAAACGCCCCUAGCCC
Long non-coding RNA from Apteryx rowi (Okarito brown kiwi), 1773 nucleotides. The record is from Ensembl. Lineage: Eukaryota; Metazoa; Chordata; Aves; Apterygiformes; Apterygidae.